This 465-nucleotide ribosomal RNA is filed under the name uncultured bacterium. Its description in RNAcentral is "partial 16S ribosomal RNA". It matches the Rfam family "Bacterial small subunit ribosomal RNA", at positions 28 to 507 of the family's 1533-position model. The record is from RNAcentral.
GAUGAACGCUGGCGGCGUGCUUAACACAUGCAAGUCGUACGGUAAGGCCCUUUCGGGGGUACACGAGUGGCGAACGGGUGAGUAACACGUGAGUAACCUGCCCACAACUUUGGGAUAACGCUAGGAAACUGGUGCUAAUACUGGAUAUGUGCUCCUGCUGCAUGGUGGGGGUUGGAAAGCUCCGGCGGUUGUGGAUGGACUCGCGGCCUAUCUGCUUGUUGGUGGGGUAAUGGGCUACCAAGGCGGCGACGGGUAGCCGGCCUGAGAGGGUGACCGGCCACAUUGGGACUUAGAUACGGCCCAGACUCCUACUGGAGGCAGCAGUGGGGAAUAUUGCACAAGCGGCGCAAGCCUGAUGCAGCAACGCCGCGGGCGGGAUGACGGCCUUCGGGUUGUAAACCGCAUUCAUCAGGGACGAAGCUUUUUGUGACGGUACCUGCAGAAAAAGCACCGGCUAACUACGUG